RNAcentral lists this ribosomal RNA (400 nucleotides) under uncultured bacterium. Its description in RNAcentral is "bacterial SSU rRNA". It matches the Rfam family "Bacterial small subunit ribosomal RNA", at positions 28 to 411 of the family's 1533-position model. The record is from RNAcentral.
AAUGAACGCUGGCGGCGUGCCUAACACAUGCAAGUCGCACGAGAAAGACUGUUUUCGGACGGUCGAGUAAAGUGGCGCACGGGUGAGUAGCGCGUAGGUAACCUACCUCUGUAUUGGGGAUAACCCCGCGAAAGCGGGGCUAAUACCGGAUGAGACCCUGGGAUGGUGGUCUUGGGGUGAAAGCGGGCCUCUCGAAGAAGCUCGCGUACGGGGAUGGGCCUGCGUCCUAUCAGCUAGUUGGUGGGGUAAUGGCCUACCAAGGCGACGACGGGUAGCUGGUCUGAGAGGAUGAUCAGCCACACUGGCACUGGAACACGGGCCAGACUCCUACGGGAGGCAGCAGUGAGGAAUUUUGCGCAAUGGCCGCAAGGCUGACGCAGCAACGCCGCGUGGGUGAUGA